GAUGAACGCUGGCGGCAUGCCUUACACAUGGCAAGUCGAACGGUAACAGGUCUUCGGAUGCUGACGAGUGGGCGAACGGGUGAGUAAUACAUCGGAACGUGCCCGAGUCGUGGGGGAUAACGCAGCGAAAGCUGUGCUAAUACCGCAUACGAUCUACGGAUGAAAGCGGGGGAUCGCAAGACCUCGCGCGGACGGAGCGGCCGAUGGCAGAUUAGGUAGUUGGUGGGAUAAAAGCUUACCAAGCCGACGAUCUGUAGCUGGUCUGAGAGGACGACCAGCCACACUGGGACUGAGACACGGGCCCAGACUCCUACGGGAGGCAGCAGUGGGGAAUUUUGGACAAUGGGCGCAAGUUUGAUCCAGUUAUGCCGCGUGUAGGAUGAAGGCUUUCGGGUGUAAACUGCUUUUGUACGGAACGAAAAGCGUCUCUCUAAUAC
Molecule: ribosomal RNA, 437 nt
Filed under: uncultured bacterium
Lineage: Bacteria
Description: bacterial SSU rRNA
Rfam family: Bacterial small subunit ribosomal RNA
Source: RNAcentral